GAGGGGUGAGGGGUGGCUGACCGGAAGGAGGAAAGUCCCCCCACCGUUAAAUGGCGGAGCUCCGUAAGGGGCUGUGCCGGGAGGCACGGCAACGGCACAGAAACGAUACCCGCCUGGGGAAAAGCGAUGAUUCCGGAAGGAUGAGGUCACCUAGGCGGGAUGAAACGGCCGACCCCGCCGGUGCAAGGCAUUUAGCCGCUCAGACUAAUGCCACCUAAAACAGAAGGGGGCUUACCAUCACCCCUC
Molecule: RNase P RNA, 246 nt
Filed under: Archaeoglobus sp.
Lineage: Archaea; Methanobacteriati; Methanobacteriota; Archaeoglobi; Archaeoglobales; Archaeoglobaceae
Description: RNase P RNA component
Rfam family: Archaeal RNase P
About the family: Ribonuclease P (RNase P) is a ubiquitous endoribonuclease, found in archaea, bacteria and eukarya as well as chloroplasts and mitochondria. Its best characterised activity is the generation of mature 5'-ends of tRNAs by cleaving the 5'-leader elements of precursor-tRNAs. Cellular RNase Ps are ribonucleoproteins.
Source: RNAcentral